This 1287-nucleotide long non-coding RNA is filed under the name Carassius auratus (goldfish). RNAcentral describes it as "lncRNA (ENSCARG00000065419.1)". Lineage: Eukaryota; Metazoa; Chordata; Actinopteri; Cypriniformes; Cyprinidae. The record is from RNAcentral.
GUAAAUUUAUAUCUUAACUGAAAACGUUUAAGAACCGUGGCUACAGAACAAAAUACGUACUUUAAUGCUUAUAUGUAUUCAUACUUAACAUUUAUUAGAUUAAACGUGAGAAAAAAAAGCGUUGUAAAUAGUUGUAAAUAAGAGUGAUUUGAUUAUAGGCUUACUUUGCUAGUGUUUUAAUGUAUUUUCUUUAUUUUUGUAACUAAUUUUAACCUCUAUAGUUGAGCUUUCUCGCAAAGAGAAUAUACGAUAACAUACAUGCCACAUAACAAUAUGAUUUAUUCACAGAGGAAGAUAAUGUUUUUACAUGCACUGUUUAAUCACGUUGAAUGAUCACAGAUAAUAAACGAGUUUUUAACAAUUACUAACAGUUAUUUGCAAUUAUUUGUGACCCUGGACCACAAACCCAGUCAUAAAGGUUUUAAUUUUUUAUUUUAUUAUUGAGAUUUAUAUAGCACCUGAAAGAUGAAUAAUUACGCUUCAAUUGAUUGAUGUGUGGUUUGUUAGGAUUGGACAGUAUUUGGCUGAGAUACAACUAUUUGAAAAUCUGAGGGCGCCAAAAAAAAAAUUUAAAUGUUGGGAAAAUCGCCUUUAAAGUUGUUCUUAGCAAAGCAUACUACUAAUCAAAAAUUUACAAAAUAUCUUCAUGGAACAGGUCACAUUGUCUUUUCCAUUUCUCUUGUGCAUCAUGUCCUUACUUUUAAGCUUUGGAUUACUUUGAAGACUCUUGUUUGCACAUGAUCAAGUUGGUCAAAGCAGGUAUUUGUCUCAUGGUAAUGUUUUAUAAAUUUUGUCUUUUCACAGCUUGCAUGGUGGUUGGUGUGCUCGUUGCAGCUUCACACACAUCUUCUCUGGUUUUCUGCAGAUGCAUGGACUGAAAAGAAUAGAAGGAUGGUUUGUUUCUGUGCAAGGAGCUGGUGCGGUACAUGCCUCUCUUUGGCCAUGAGGUCAUUCCUCCAUCUUUGGUGCAGCGCUAUGACUGUGGAAUUGACCUCUGGCUCGUUUCAGAAUGAUCUCCUCACGUCUGUGCUUCUCAACGUCCAUGUUCCUGCCCAAAGAAUUGCUAUGUUUCUUUAUUGUUCUGGGGGCUUUUUGGUGCAUAUAGUGGACUUUGCAGGGCCACAGCAUGCAGUGGACUGGGAUAGCGAUACACUUCCAUGCCCUGGUGACCUGGAAGAUCAGAACGGUAGGUGGGUUGCAAAACAACUUUGGAUUGAAGUAUGUCGUAAACAUCUGGCCAGUGCGAGUCUGGAAACAGAUCCGCCACAGAUUGGAAAACAUCUUUAG